UACGAAGGGGGCUAGCGUUGUUCGGAAUUACUGGGCGUAAAGCGCGCGUAGGCGGUGAUCUUUGUCAGAGGUGAAAUCCCGAGGCUCAACUUCGGAAUUGCCUUUGAAACGGGAUCGCUUGAGUCCGAGAGAGGAUGGCGGAAUUCCUAGUGUAGAGGUGAAAUUCGUAGAUAUUAGGAAGAACACCGGUGGCGAAGGCGGCCAUCUGGCUCGGUACUGACGCUCAGGCGCGAAAGCGUGGGGAGCAAAC
Molecule: ribosomal RNA, 250 nt
Filed under: uncultured bacterium
Lineage: Bacteria
Description: partial 16S ribosomal RNA
Rfam family: Bacterial small subunit ribosomal RNA
Source: RNAcentral